UGUUCUGUCGAAGAUUAAUUGGCCAUACAUUUGUGGGUCCAAUUCUGGGUUCUCUAUUCUAUUCCAUUGGUCUAGGUGUCUGUUUUUUGUGCCAAUACCAUACUGUCUUGAUGAUUAUAGCUUUGUAGUAAAGGCUAAAGUCUGGGAUUACGAUGCCUCCUGCUUUGUUUUUCUUUUUUACCAUUUCUUUGGCUAUGCAGGGUCUUUUGUGGUUUCAUACAAAUUUUAGGAUUGUUUGUUCUAGCUCUGCAAAGAAUGCUGGUGUUCUUUUGAUAAGGAUUGCAUUGAGUGUGUAGAUUGCUUUGGGUAGUACUGACAUUUUAACAAUAUUUGUUCUUCUAGUCCAUGAGCAUGGAAUGUUUUUUCAUUUCUUUGUGUUGUCUUCAAUUUCUUUCAUAAACUUCCUAUAGUUUUCAGCAUACAGAUCUUUUACGUCUUUGGUUAGGUUUAUUCCCAGGUAUUUUAUGCUUCUUGGUGCAAUUGUGAAUGGGAUCGAUUCUUUCUCUUUCUGUUGCUUCAUCCCUGGUGUAUAGAAAUGCAACCAUUUUCUAUACAUUGAUUUUAUAUCCUGCGACUUUGCUGAAUUUAUGUAUCAGUUCUAGCAGUUUUUUGGUGGAGCCUCUUGGGUUUUCCAUGUAGAGUAUCAUGUCAUCUGUGAAAAGUGAAAGUUUGACUUCUUUGCCAAUUUGAAUGCCUUUUAUUUCAUUUUGUUGUCUGAUUGCCGUAGCUAGGACUUCCAACUCUAUGUUAAACAACAGUGGUGAGGGUGGCCAACCCUGUUGUGUUCCUAAUUUCAGGGAGAAAGCUCUCAGUUUUUCCCCAUUGAAGAUGAUAUUAGUGUGGGCCUUUCAUAUAUGGCUAUUAGAAACAGUUCUGUGAAGCCAACAUGAUGUCACUUAAAUAUAAGAGCUGUGGAAAUAGGUAAUAGACAGGAAGGAGACACAGGCUACAUAUAUUUUAACUUAAAAUUUGUAGCUAUGUGUGCAUUAAUUUUUAGCAAUUUUAUUGAGAUCUACUUUUCAUAUAGUGAAACUUUCAGGUUUUAACUGCACAUGUUGGUAAGUUCUGACAAAUGUGGAAAGUCAGACAAGAUGCAUGACAAUGUCAUGGCUCCAGAAAGCCCCCUGCUUCCUUCCUGGUCAUUAUCCCGCCCAGAGGCCUCCACACCCCUAACCGCCUUCCUAAUGUGGCCACUUCUGGCUCCUGUCACAACUCUGGAUGUUUCUGUAUGGGGCUGAAGAGUCUGAGUGAGCACUUGUCUCGCAACUGGAUUCUUAGUCUCCAUUUUUAGUAUAAACCGCAUCCUUAAUUUGUCUUCCUAAGAUGUGUGGUUUCAGUGUUUUUCUAAAGUGGACUGAGAAAUCGAGUGUAUUUGUAAGGAGUCUAAGACCAGAAUUCUUCCAAAUAUUCAAAAAUUAUUUUCUGUUUAAUAGUUAUCUUGUCAAUACCUAAUUCAAGAUCAAUUUUUAAAAGAACUUCAACUUGCCUUUAUCUUGCUUUUCCAAGUCAAGUUUAUCCUGGUUUUCAUAGAAACCACUUUCUUUCAUUAGCACUAGCCGGAAGCUGGUUUCCAUAAUAAUAAACGAGCUCAGCAGUAGGGAGAGUGUGGACAAGCGGCAUAAACGUGCUUGGGUGCAAACCUAAGUGUUCUGGUGAAGCUCACAGUAGGAAGUGGUCUACUGCUUUUCACUGAAGUGAUGGGCCCACUGAGCCCGCAACCACGUGAGUGGCAGAGCAGAGACGGGUGUGUUACAGGUGCUUUACGUACACAUACAGACUGAUGAGAACACACAUGUACGUGCUGCACCCCAGAGGUAUCUACUGUCAGCAUUUUUCCAUAGUUUUCCGGGCUCUCAAGUGCUCUCAUGCACGUAGAGCUAACAUUAUUGCAGGGCUCGAGGGAACAGACUGCAAGUGGGGGAUGCCCCAGUAGGACUCUUAGAGCUCAGUGAGAGCUGAUGUACUCAGGGCCAUGGUUUAUUUUUUUUAAUUUAUUAUUUUUUUAAUGUUUAUUUAUUUUUGAGACAGAGAGAGACAGAGCAUGAACGGGGGAGGGUCAGAGAGAGAGGGAGACACAGAAUCGGAAGCAGGCUCCAGGCUCUGAGCGGUCAGCACAGAGCCCGACGCGGGGCUCGAACUCACGGACCGCGGGAUCAUGACCUGAGCCGAAGUCGGACGCUUAACCGACUGAGCCACCCAGGCGCCCCAGGGCCGUGGUUUAUCACAGCAAAGGGAUACAGGCGAACGUAACACAAGGAGAAGGCCACAGGGCAGAGUCCAGACAGAGCUCCCAGCUGUCUGUGGACACCAGUCCUCCCUGGCAUCCACGUGUCCUCACCAGAGCCCAGACUGGGCCACUGGGCCCCUGGGCCACGUGUGCUUUGGUGUUGGCCUCUGGCAAGCUGGGCAGGGAUGGUCGGGUUGGGGAGUGUUUUCCUUCCUUUAGAUGCCACAGAAGCUCAGGCUUUGCCCAGGUACUGUUAGCAGGCAAGUAGAACAUGGGGACAGAGGUAAAAUGACCUCUGCCGGCAGGAAUGCCCUUCCAUGUGGCCCGCCCAUUCCGUUCUUUCCAUCUUCUCCAUCUGUCCCACUUGUCUCAUCCCUCCUGAUGAUGUUUUGGGGUGAUGGGUUCAUAGGGUCUGGGGCCAACAGCCAAGAAGGAAUUCUUGAAGAUAUCUUUGAUGCAAAAAGGUCAUUUUAUUAAAGUAUGUGGACAGGACCCAUGGCGGGAAGAGCUGCUCUGGGGUCGUGACAGGUAGCUCAUUCUUUACCCGUAGGUUGGGAGGGGUCAGGGAUAGAGUAAGUCUCUAAGGAAUUUUGGAAACAAGGUUUCUGGGACCUUGAGGGGUUAGCUGUUGCUAGGGAGACACCAUUGAUUACCAUUUAGUAAAACCUCGGUCACGAGACCCCCCCCCAGAUGUGUAUCGGGGGGCCGUAAGUUUGGAUUAUGAUUGCCAGCAUGUAUCUUGGGGCAGUUGAGAUAAAGGAAGUAGACUUACAGGAACCUUGAGGUUGGGAUAAUGUUAAGCUAAGGUUCUCUUUUGGCCCCAGCAAAGUGUCAUCAUCGAGGCAGCUGAGCUCCUAGAGGGAGGUCAUUCUGCCGGUCUCAAGGACUUGUCAAUGGGCUGUAGGCAGUAAGGAAAUUUAAUUUUUCAUUUGCUGCGGUUUCCCACAUCACCAUGGCAAGCACUUAAGCCCCUUUCCUUUGUUCUUGGGCAACCAGGAGUGUCCGAGGAAUAUCACACAUAUUCCACCGGGGAGGGGGGUGGGGGUGAUGCCAGCCUGUAUUUGCCCUCGCCGUGCCCCAAGCUCCCUCAUCGCUUCCAUCCGCCCCACCUGCCUCACUGGCCCCAUCGACCUCACCCCUUCCGUCUACCCCAUCCGCUCCACCUCACAUGGACCAGCCAGAGUGUGUGCAGGUGCACCUCUUUAUGGUUCGAGAAGCCUGCCUCCACUGUGAUGACUUCCCCGGUGGUCACAGCUCCUGCUUUGGGCAAAGGCCAGUAGAUGCUUGGAAGGGUCUUGACCAACCUGAAGAGACUGGCAGAUAAAUUGCUUGCCUUUUCUCUAGAAGGUCUAGAGAGGCAGUGGUUCCCUAAAGAUUCCCUGAAGAUAACUCAGUGAGCCAUCAUCUUGCUGUUUCCUUUAUAAUCUGUGGCAAGCCAAAAAGAAAAACAAAAACAAAAAACCCACCAACAGCAAAACCAAAGGGCAUCACUCUGUAUUUAUUCCCCUUUCUUCCCACUGACACUCCUGCUCCUGCCUCUUACUCCUUCCCUGGGAUUGCAGCCCUCACCCCAUUCCCAGUGCACUUGUCUCUGGCUCAGUUUUCUGAAAGACACCAUAUCACCUCAUGCAGAGGCCUAGCCAUGCUGAGACAGAACUGAAUGUUUGCCCUGUUAGAAAAAAACGUGAAACAUUAAGAUAGAAAAACAAAAAAAUUAUUGUUGUUCCCCCUCUAGGUUUUGUGAUUCAGUUUGGGCCUGUGCCUUUUAUUGCCUUGAGCUGUUUUAUAGCUUUUAAACUGUAGGAAACUUAUAAUAAUGCAACUAAUUAUUGCCCAUAGAAAUGCAACUAAAUUUUGUCCUUUGGAAUGCAAUUGCCCUGUUGAUACUGACCUCUAUUUGUAGAUUUAUUUCAGCAUUUCUGAUUGCCUGUAAACAAAUGUGUCUGAACUCUGCCUUGAACUGGUUGUAAUAUCUUACGUGUUCCUCACAAGUUAAACAAAGUAUGUGCCGUGUUGCCGUGUGGCUUUUUGUUUUUGUUUUUUGUUUUUUUUUUAUUUGCGUAGGACUCCUGACUUUGAAAACAAACGUCCUUUACAGCCCCCACCCCCAGCCUUUGCCUGGAGUCUGUCUGGAGCAGGUUUGGAAGGGCUUCCCUUACGUGUCUUUCAGCCAGAACACAGCACAGUGCAAAGUGUCACUCGUCUUCCUACUUGUUCACCGUAAACGGUGGCCGAACACGCCACCCCAAGACGGCCACCCCACUUUGGCAUAAGAUGAUUUGAGCAAAAGGCACUUGAAAAACAGCAGGUACAAGAAGAACGUCCGUAUCUCCCGCUUUCUUCCUGAGAGCAGGACACAGACCAGGGUGAAGUUGCUGUCCCUGCACCAGGGGGAAGGAAGUGGUCUUGCCAAGGGGACAGGAGCCCAGGACGGGAGAAUUCUUGCUGAAAUAACUCCUACCCAGGUAUUUUGGAUACUUUCCCACUGUCCCUUUCUGUUCACACUAGCAUGAAACCUCUCGUUUUUGCCAAUCCUGGGUCUUCGUUCUCCUUAUGAGGGCUCCCUCCCAUGUGAUGAAAAACUUAUGUAAAAUAAACUUGUGUGUCUUUCUCCUGCUAAGUCUCAGGCCCAGGCCAGAGACCCCAAGAGGGUUGAGAGAAUGGCAUUCCUCCCUCCACCAGACGGAGUGCCUCCAGCGCAGGACCCUGUCUGUCUUGCUUCCCUCCCACUGACUCCUCAGUCCCAGAGCCCCUCGGGCAGGAAGUGAGGACUGUCUGCCGAGUAAAUGAUCUGUGUCCACAGCACCCACCCAUCUCCUUCCCGCCUCAGCCCAUUCACACUCAGACCAGCAUCAGCAUAAGGGAGGACAGUGGUUUGCUUACAUGCAUCCUUUAGGAAGACACGUGCCCUUACAGGGCUUGAGCAGCUGACAAAACAAGGACUUCUCUGUGUAUACACUGGCACAUACUAAUGCUCCACAUUCCCAGUGGAGCUCCAGGAGCUAAAAAUAACCACGCGUGUUCUGUUUUAUACAGAAAAGAGGAAAUGUGCAGCUUAGUUUGUAACAUUUACUAUUUUUGAAAACCUGAUUUUUUUCCACAUGUAUUUUUAAAAUGUCUUUGGUGAUGUCCUUGCAGGAAAAUGCACAAUGCAGAUUUCACCAAAGGUCCCUCCAUUCUGUAAUCCACAUCUUCAGGAAACAAUUGCUGGAGACCAGAUACACUUGACCAUGAGAUGGGUUCUCGGGAAGCCGCCCAGAUGCAGAUCACCAGGGGUCAUAGGAGGGCCAAAGGGCCCCGGGACCUCGGAAGCCAGGUCUCUGCCUAGUCUGCCCCCUGUGCAAGGAGGGGCACACGAUCCCAUGACCACAGGCUGACAGUGGGAGCGCGGGCCUCUGUUAUCCUGAGAGAUGAGCGAGAGGUGACCGUCAUGCAGUGUCGCUCUGACCGCCACUGAGCGCGGUCUUUCGUGAAAAGAUGGGAGGGAGGUGUGUGUGCUAUAGGUCUUCAUCUCGUACUGCGUAUUUGCUCCUUAAGUGAGUGUGGGGAGGGUCUCGGUUUCUAAGGCUCCCCUGUAAGAGACGGCAGGCUAUGAUGGUCAUGAGCUGGUGGUGUUCAGUGUUGUUCGCUGCCCUUCCUUCUCACAGGGACGCUGGAAGGUUAAAAAAUAUGUAAAGAACAAAUGAAGUAAAAAGGAAGAGACACAAGUUGCCUACAGCACAGGAAGUUGGGAACGUGGGUGAGUAAUCACAGACCACGGAGGUAUUUCCAUGAGCAAAGAGCACAGGGACUGCGGGUGGGUGUGUGGGUGUGGGUUUGGCAGAAGAGGGUCCCUGCUGGCUCUGGGCACAUCAGAGGGCAGGGCUGCCUGGGCGUCUUCUGGGGGGUUCUUCCCCAAGGCCACCAUGGUGGGCCCUUCCCAUCAGGACCUCUCCUUCCAGAUGCAGGGAGCUGGCUACAUGGCUGGCCACUGCAGACCUGAGCAAAUGUGUCUGGGGUAUAGAGCCAGGGCGGCGGGGGGAGGUGGGAAAUGCAUAGUAUUUUGUAGUAAGGACAAUGGCAACAAGAUGUAUGAAAUGAGCAUGUUUCCAAAGAAAGUCCGUAGUGAUUUGGAAAAUGUGAUAGGGACAAACUGAGGCCUGAUCUCAGUGGUAAGUACCUAGGAAUUAACUUAUCCAGAAAGACAGUGGCUUAAUGUGGAAAAUGCUAUCUCACUGAGGUUAUUAAAACAGUGAGCGAAAGAGACACCAUCACUGGAAGGCAAAGACUGAAUAGCAUAUGCGUUAAUUCUCCUGGGUUUUAAAGAUGUCGUAGGAGUCACGACAAAAUUAUAUCUCGAUCUUUGAAGCCUGCUAAUGUGAUUCAAGCUCACCUGGAGAAGAAGUGAAUGUGAAGAACCACAAGCACUUUAAGAGAAGAGGCCUCUCUUGAGGUCAGAGAUUACUUAUCAGACCUCCAGCUGUAUUCCAAGCUACAGUCAGCCACAAAAGGUAGUGUGGCUGCAGGAGCCCUCAUUUAUAUCAAUGGAAGAUCAUAGAUCACUCUGGAAAGAAUCAGAAUUUAUGCAAUAAUUUUAUGUGUUCAUGUAACAAUCUACUAAAUGUUAAUAGGAUCAUCAUUAAUCAAUGAACAAAAGUUAUUCAGUCAAUCAUAUGGGACCAAGAAAUAAAUUACAUACACUAAAAGUAGAUCUUAGAAUGUACUAAGAAUGUACUUAGAAUGUACUAAAUUCUAGGCAGAUUUGAUUUCAAAAUAAAACCACAAAAGAACAAGAAGACAAAACAGGACUCUAAGUAGAAAACUCUAAGUUUUAUCCACUCUAAGAUGAAAAUGUCAUUUUUAAGAAGAAAAUGUAAGCGAGCACACAAAAAACAGAUUUGAAUUGACAUUGAAAUUAUAAAUUAAGACGGAAAUAAGGAUGAAAAAUUAGGAAGGUAAUUUAAUUAUAAAAAAUUUAUAGGCAUGCUCCCCUAGUAUGUAAGAAUUUCUUAGAAAUGAUUAUCAAAAGGCAAAAGACAUGAAAGACAAACACAAAAAUGAUAACAGUAAACACGGAAAAAUGUUUAGCAUCGUUACUGAUCAAAUCAGACUUAGAUAGGAAAUUGUUACUGACUUCAUUUUUUUUUAAUUUUUUUUUAAAUUUUUUUUUUUAACGUUUAUUUAUUUUUGAGACAGAGAGAGACAGAGCAUGAACGGGGGAGGGUCAGAGAAAGGGAGACACAGAAUCCGAAGCAGGCUCCAGGCUCCAAGCUGUCAGCACAGAGCCUGAGGCGGGGCUCAAACUCACGGACCACAAGAUCGUGACCUGAGCCAAAGUUGGCCGCUCAACCGACUGAGCCACCCAGGCGCCCCACUGACUUUAAGAGGAUUGUAUGCAGUGUUGGUAAUGAGGCCUUUCAAGUUCUUGUGGUGGUAUUGGUGGUAGGAAAAUACAGACUUUCUUCAACCUUAAUUAAUGAAAGAUGUUGACACGGCUCCUCUUUUUCUCCUUCCCUUUCACUGUUCAGUCCCUUCCUAAAGAUUUCAGGGCCAUUCUUUUCAGGGAAUGAACCCAGGGGCAAGGGCAGGAUGAGGCCAGCAUGGUGGGUCAUCACUCAGAGCUUCCUUGGAGGAGGCAGCAUCCACCGGGGAGCCCGCAAGUAGGGGCAACUUGGCACUCUGCACACAGCACCCUGAGAGAUUGGCCUGAGUACCCCUUUCACUAAAAGAAAUGAGGACUUUUUGGGCCGACAGCUCAUUUUGGUGCUGGAGCAGGGAAAGAUGAGCAGGAAACAUCAGACUGUGCGAGACAGGAAAUGCUUCCAGAAUGGUGGCAACACAUCAGACACCACAGAAGCCAGUAUGGAGGGUCCCACCUGCCAACUCUAGGACAAUUGCAGCAUCAGAAUAAGUAAAAUUAGGGACAGAUUGCAUAUACUAGAAACCACACAUUAAACUGAUGUAAAGAAAUGCACAAAUAAGUCCAAAAUUCCAUGAGAAAUGGAACAUUGAAAUAGACUCAAAGUUCCUCCUCUCAAAAUUCUUUUUUUUUUUUUAAGUUUAUUUAUUUUGAGAGAGAGAGGGAGCACGCACGGGGCUGGGGGGGCGCAGAGAGAGGAGAGAGAGAGAAUCCCAAGCAGGCUCCGUACUGUUAGUACAGAGGCCAGCGCAGGGCUCAAACUCACGAACCGUGAAAUCAUGACCUGAGUUGAAAUCAAGAGUCGGAUGGUCAACUGACUGAGCCACCCAGGUGCCCCUCUCUCAAAAUUCUUAUUAACUGCAAAGAAAAUAAGUGGAGAAGACUAGGGGACAUGGGGGUAGUCAGGUGACAGACAGGAACAUCAUCCGUAAGGGGACAAAUUGCCACCUGAUGUGUGAUAGGACAGUUCCUUGUGCAGAUUCCUGCUAGAGGUGCAUCUAAUCAUGACGAGACAUCAGACAAACCCAAAUGGACAGAUGCUCCACAAAAUAACUGACCUGUGUUCUUCAAAUGCACCAAGAUCGUGAGAGUCCAGACGAGACUAAGAGCUUCUCCUGACUGACAAGAAAGAGGGUAAAGAAGCCAGCACACAGCUCUAAGCUGGACCUUCUUUCUCUAAUGGCAGCAUGGGGACAAAUGGCAAAACUUGGAUGGAGCCCAGGAUUAGGUUAGUGCAGUGUAACAGGGAUUAACAAAGCAUCGUGUCCCUUUCCUGGUUUGAUUUUGAUGGUUGUGCCGCCCUGAUGUAGCACAGUGUCCUCGUUUGUGGAAAGAUUUUGGGGGUGAUGGAGCCUUCCAGUCAGCAGCUUAUUUUUAGAGCAGUCAGACAAAAAUCCUUGCACCACAUUUUCAACCUUUGCAUAGGUUUGAGAUUGUCACCUGCACCCGCGUAAACACACGCACACACACAUGCAUGCGUGAGCACACACGAGCACACAAGUGUGUGCGCACAAGCGUGCAUGAGCACACGUGGGCACACGCACACACGUAUGUGUGAGCAUGCACACAUGCACGCACACACGUGCAGCCUUGGAGUAAACAGACGUGCUCUUUGGCCCAGCAGUUCUACUUCAGGAAUCUUUCCUAGGACAGUAGCUAGGGUCCCCACCCAAGCUGCGUGCAGGAAGAGGUUCACUUCAUUCUCGUGACACGGUGGAAACCAGGUGAGUGCCUACUAGCAAGGAGGUGCAUCCUGACGCAAUCAUGUGGUGAAUGUCUGUUUCAUCACUAGGAGCCGUGUUUAUGAAGCAUGUUCGACAACAGUGGAAUCUGUCCACAGCAUGCUGUUCAUGGAGGAGUCUCACUGGACGGACACCUGCACUUCUAGUGGUGGAAUGAAGAUGAGGGAUGUGCACUUCCUGGCCAGAUCGAGGCCCAGGCUCACUGGCCAGGGGUCUUCUGCCACCCUCUGCAGUUCUCCCAGGCAGACCCCAGCACAGAGAUGCAGGUAAGGCUGGAACUAGAGGGAAAGUUGUAGCCUCAGUGCAUAUGUGAGAAUAUAGGGAAAUCUAAUCACUGAUAAGUUGAGCAUUUGUCGUGCAUGAGGAAAGGAGAAGUAAAACUACAGGUGACCCUUGAGUAACAUGGGUUUGAACUGCAUGGGUCACUUAUACAAGGGUUUUUUUUUCCUCAAUAAAUUCUGCACAGUACUUUAAAUGCACUUCUUCUUCCUUAUGAUUUCUUAGUAACAUUUCUUCUCUAGCUUACUUUACUGUAAGAAUACAGCAUGUAAUACGUGUAACAUACAACAUACGCGGUAAUCAACUGUUUAUGUUAUCCGUAAAGCUUCUGGUCAAUUGUAAGGUAUGAGUAGUUAAGUUUCUGAGGCGUCAGAAGUUACACAUGGAUUUCCAACUGUGUGGGGAAUUGGUGCCCCUACCCCCGUGUCGUUCCAGGUCAACUGUGUUCUAUAAUACCCAUACGUAGUGAACCCAGUGCCUGAAAUGGAAAGACUGACAGUACUAAGUAUCAGCACGGGUGUGUAGCUGCCGAGAUUCUGCGGGCCUGCAAGUGGAUGUUUCAGGUCACAGGGCAAUGAGUCAAGAAGCAGAGCUAGGCUGAGUCAAGGCCACAGCCCAGGAACUGUGGGGUUUUGCCCAGGACCUGGGGACAUGCCUGCAUGUCCCCCCGCCCGGGAGACCUGCCCCCAAGGCUACCCUCUGUGGCAGGUGUUAUGCGUCCCACCUGAGAGAGGAGGAUGACUGCUGGGAAUGGCAGAGCCAGACGUCAGCCUGAAGCUAACCUGCAGGAGCCCUUCUGGGACAUAGAAGGCAGGGCCCGAGCAAGGGGGAAAGGAAGGGAGAGCACCCUGGAUCUUCCUGCCUGAGUGACCGUGGAGGAGGCCCUGCGUGGGUGGACUGGCCGGUGCGGCUGUCCUGGAGGGGAGAGGGUGCCAGGGAGGGAGGGAGCAGUCGCGUGGACACCCGGACCUGCCGAGGAGCUGGGGAAAAGAUGUGUGGGGUGGACAUGACACCUGCAUGAGACAGGCUGCUCCUUCCCCGGGCCUGGGACUCACUCCUGCUUCUAAGAGAGAAGGUGCUGGGCCCAGGGUGAAGCUCCCAGAGCCGGAUUCCUGGCCAGGGAGGUGGGGUUUGCCUCCAAAAGGAAAACCGUGUGGCUCUGGGAGCAGAUGCUCCAUGUGAGCCCCCGGGUCGCCCUCUGACUCCCCACCGCACCCCCUCCCCCCGGGCACACAGAUGGGGGGGCUGGUGCCUCUACACUCACGGAUAAGGGGCCUAAUGGGGUCUGGAGUGGAAACCCUUCUGCCAUCAGCUCCGUCACAAGGAGACACAUAUGCACAAACACAGCGUCAUGCGCGCACACACACGCAUACACACAAACACCCAUGCAUAUACAGAAACACACGCCUCUCUUCAGCUUGGGGCCCACAGUCCCCUACUCUGACCUUUACAGUGGAAGGAAACAGAAAAACCACCAAAGUCUGGCAUCCAUGGCAUUUAGCUGAUUGUGAAAACUGCGCACUCACCCCCGGAAGAGAGUUUCUCAUGUUUAUCCUUCGGAUAACAGUGGAUUGAAAUCAAUCCAAUCCCACAUGGAAUUCAUUCUGGAGAAUUUCACGUCUCCCCAGACGUGGGGCCCUGCCCAGGGUGGACGUUUGGCCUGGGAGCCCUUUUGUCCUUCUCCAAGGAUGUUUUUGGAUCUGACUGCCCUUUUCUCCUGUGGGGUUUUCCCUCCUGAAAGAAGAGAGGAAUCGCUGGGUGUGGGACAAGAAGUAGGACCCUUGCUUCCCAACAUACACAGAACCAGCCACACCUGGACCCAUGGCAUAAAUUCGGGGGUGCUCUCAAAAACUUUGCCUGGAAUGUGUCAGUGAGUUAUUCGCGACGUUGGAGUAAGCAUUUCUUAAAUACACUGUGAAGAGCUCUAACUACAAAAUAAGAGACUAAUACUUUGGAAUACAUUAAAAACCCAGUCAAUGAAAAUCACCUUAAAGAAAGUGAGGGGGAAGUUCAAGAUGAGACGCUCACACCAGAAGGAGCGGACACAAAGUGAUAGCCGCACUUGCGUCAGCCUGGGGAGCCACGGUUUACCCCUCUCCUCUCAGCAAUCAGGGCGUUGGGCAGAGAGGGUGUUGCAAGUCCCUGGGCGCAGAGGGACCCUGGGAUCCGCCUCCUCAUGGCUCCCCCCCCAUGUCCUCGACUGCCCUUCCCGGGACCCAAGCCAGCUAGACAGAAGCAGGUGGGUGAGUCAGGCUGUGGGUCUGCGUUGUGGGUGCCUGUGUUCCCAGCCUUCGGGGCGGGUGGGGGCAGGAGGAAGUGGCUCUGAGUCAGAGGUCCUAUGGGGCUCAUUUUCCAAGACACUGACCUCCCUGUGGCCCCAAAAGUAGGCCAGACAGAGAAAGGCGUGGGCUGUGGCUUCUGACUGUCCCGUGAGCAAGUAGACACAGACACAGACAGACACACAGGACAGGGACCUAGAUACCCACAGACACACACACAGAGAUACAUGCAGACCUACACAGACAUACAGGCACAGACACACAGGACGGGGACCUAGAUACCCACAGACAGGCACAG
Long non-coding RNA from Acinonyx jubatus (cheetah), 12223 nucleotides. RefSeq lists it as uncharacterized. The record is from RefSeq and is a predicted model, not a curated record. Lineage: Eukaryota; Metazoa; Chordata; Mammalia; Carnivora; Felidae. The transcript is spliced from 4 exons.